UACGUAGGUGGCAAGCGUUGUCCGGAAUUAUUGGGCGUAAAGCGCGCGCAGGUGGUUUCUUAAGUCUGAUGUGAAAGCCCACGGCUCAACCGUGGAGGGUCAUUGGAAACUGGGGAACUUGAGUGCAGAAGAGGAAAGUGGAAUUCCAGGUGUAGCGGUGAAAUGCGUAGAUAUCUGGAGGAACACCGGUGGCGAAGGCGGCAUCCUGGACCGGUAUUGACACUGAGGCGCGAAAGCCAGGGGAGCAAACGGG
Molecule: ribosomal RNA, 253 nt
Filed under: uncultured bacterium
Lineage: Bacteria
Description: partial 16S ribosomal RNA
Rfam family: Bacterial small subunit ribosomal RNA
Source: RNAcentral